RNAcentral lists this ribosomal RNA (865 nucleotides) under uncultured bacterium. Its description in RNAcentral is "bacterial SSU rRNA". It matches the Rfam family "Bacterial small subunit ribosomal RNA", at positions 37 to 896 of the family's 1533-position model. The record is from RNAcentral.
UGGCGGAAUGCUUUACACAUGCAAGUCGAACGGCAGCACGGACUUCGGUCUGGUGGCGAGUGGCGAACGGGUGAGUAACAUAUCGGAACGUAUCCAAUAAUGGGGGAUAACUAAUCGAAGGGUUGGCUAAUACCGCAUACGCCCUACGGGGGAAAGCAGGGGAUCUUCGGACCUUGCGUUAAUGGAGCGGCUGAUAUCUGAUUAGCUAGUUGGUGAGGUAAAGGCUCACCAAGGCGACGAUCAGUAGCUGGUCUGAGAGGACGACCAGCCACACUGGAACUGAGACACGGUCCAGACUCCUACGGGAGGCAGCAGUGGGGAAUUUUGGACAAUGGGCGCAAGCCUGAUCCAGCCAUUCCGCGUGAGUGAAGAAGGCCUUCGGGUUGUAAAGCUCUUUCGCAAGGGAAGAAAACUUACUUUUUAAUAAAGAGUGAGGUUGACGGUACCUUGAUAAGAAGCACCGGCUAACUACGUGCCAGCAGCCGCGGUAAUACGUAGGGUGCGAGCGUUAAUCGGAAUUACUGGGCGUAAAGCGUGCGCAGGCGGCUUUGUAAGUCAGAUGUGAAAUCCCCGAGCUCAACUUGGGAACUGCGUUUGAAACUACAAGGCUAGAAUAUGUCAGAGGGGGGUAGAAUUCCACGUGUAGCAGUGAAAUGCGUAGAGAUGUGGAGGAAUACCAAUGGCGAAGGCAGCCCCCUGGGAUAAUAUUGACGCUCAUGCACGAAAGCGUGGGGAGCAAACAGGAUUAGAUACCCUGGUAGUCCACGCCCUAAACGAUGUCUACUAGUUGUUGGUGGAGUAAAAUCCAUGAGUAACGCAGCUAACGCGUGAAGUAGACCGCCUGGGGAGUACGGUCGCAAGAUUA